CAGUCGCCGCGGGAAUACGUAGGUGGCAAGCGUUGUCCGGAAUUAUUGGGCGUAAAGCGCGCGCAGGCGGCCUAUCCAGUCUGUCUUAAAAGUUCGGGGCUCAACCCCGUGAUGGGAUGGAAACUAGUAGGCUAGAGUAUCGGAGAGGAAAGCGGAAUUCCUAGUGUAGUGGUGAAAUGCGUAGAUAUUAGGAAGAACACCGGUGGCGAAGGCGGCCUGCUGAACCAAAACUGACGCUGAGGCUCGAGAGCGUGGGGAGCGAACAGGAUUAGAUACCCGCGUAGUCCCUGUCUCUUAUACA
Molecule: ribosomal RNA, 301 nt
Filed under: uncultured bacterium
Lineage: Bacteria
Description: partial 16S ribosomal RNA
Rfam family: Bacterial small subunit ribosomal RNA
Source: RNAcentral